Molecule: ribosomal RNA, 253 nt
Filed under: uncultured bacterium
Lineage: Bacteria
Description: partial 16S ribosomal RNA
Rfam family: Bacterial small subunit ribosomal RNA
Source: RNAcentral
UACGUAGGGUGCAAGCGUUGUCCGGAAUUAUUGGGCGUAAAGCGUGCGCAGGCGGCUUUGCAAGACAGAUGUGAAAUCCCCGGGCUUAACCUGGGAACUGCAUUUGUGACUGCAUGGCUGGAGUGCGGCAGAGGGGGAUGGAAUUCCGCGUGUAGCAGUGAAAUGCGUAGAUAUGCGGAGGAACACCGAUGGCGAAGGCAAUCCCCUGGGCCUGCACUGACGCUGAGGAGCGAAAGCGUGGGUAGCAAACAGG